RNAcentral lists this long non-coding RNA (1695 nucleotides) under Sus scrofa (pig). RNAcentral describes it as "lncRNA (ENSSSCG00005033095.1)". Lineage: Eukaryota; Metazoa; Chordata; Mammalia; Artiodactyla; Suidae. The record is from RNAcentral.
ACCAAAGCAGUGAAAUAUACCCUAAUUUACUGCAGUCUGUUCCCAGGCUAGGGGUUGAAUCAGAGCUGUAGCUGCCAGCCUACGCCAGAGCCACAGCAACGCGGGAUCUGAGCCGCAUCUGCAACCUACACCACAGCUCGCAGCAACGCCGGAUUGUUAACCCACUGAGCAAGGCCAGGGACCGAACCCGCAACCUCAUGGUUCCUAGUCGGAUUCGUUAACCACUGCGCCACGACUGGAACUCCUGCUGUCAUUUCUUGCUGGGUAUGUGCACCUGUCUCUUCCUGGUCCAGCCUCCUCAUAGAAGCCAGAGCCCUCCUGACACACAGGUUAGGUGAUGUGCAGUAUAAAUAUUUCACAAUAUUUAUUCUCAUGGAAUAAAACUCCUUCUUUAGCAAGGUGCCUGAGUUUUUUGUUUCUGGCCCCUGCUUACCUCUCCAUCCUCUUCUCUCCAGUGCGGUUUUUUGAUUUUUGACAUCCUGAACUUUCUGCCUGGAGUGUCCUUGUGUCACUUCUUUGCCUAAUUCCUUUUCAUCUUUUUUAGCAUAAGGAUAAGUCUUUAUGUAACUGUGUAAUUCUGGCAUGUAUAAGUUUAUGGAAUGUUUGGACAAACGUGGGAAUGAAUAAAUGAAUAAAUAAGUAUAAAGAAAAUGGAUUUCUAAAAAUUGUGGUAAAAUACAUGUAACACAAAAUUUACCAUCUUAACUAUUUUUUAGUGUAGAGUUCAGUGACAUUAAGUACAUUCACAUUUUUCUAUAACCAUCACCACCAUCCAUCUCCAGAAUGUUUUUUUCUUGUGGAAACUGAAACUUAGUACCCAUUAAAUGCUAACUCUUCAUUUCCCCCUCCCCCUAAACCCUGGCAGCUACCAUUCUACUUUGUUUCUACAAGUUUGACUACUCCAGAUUCUUCAUAUGAGUGGAAUUAUACAGUAUUUGCCCUUUUGUGACAGGCUUGUUUCACUUAGCAUAAUGUCCUCAAAUUUCACCCAUUCACAUUGUUGAGUAUGUCAGAAUUUCCUUGCUAUUUAAGGUCGAAUGAUAUUCCGUUGCACGUAUAGACCAUUAUUUUGUUUAUGCUUUCAUGUAUUGUUUGUACAAAGAUGUAAUUUGUAGCAUUGUUUGAAAUAGUGAAAGGUUGUAAGCCAUCUAAAAGUCAUGUGAGCAUUUCUGCUGGGCACAGUGGGUUAAGAAACCAUCAGUAGCAGCUUGGAUCACUGCAGAGGCACAAGUUCAAUGCCCGGCCUGGUGCAGUGAGUUAAAGGAUCUGGCGUUGCUGCAGCUGUGGUGGAGGUCACAGCUGUGGCUUGGAUUCAAUCUCUGGCCCAGGAACUUCCAUAGACUGCAGGUGUGGCCAUAAAAGUAAGUAAAUAAAAAUAAAUAAAUAUCCAUGUGUAGGGGAUUAGUGAUGUAAAAUAACCUUACAGUAGAAAACUGUGUAGCAGUGAUAAAGAAUGGGGCUUCCCAUCGUGGCUCAGUGGAAAGAAAUCUGACUCAUAUCCAUGAGGAUGCAGGUUCGAUUCCUGGCCUUGCCUUGCUUAGUGUGUUAAAGGAUCCAUUGUUGUGGUGAGCUGUGGUGUAGGUCGCAGACACGGCUUGGAUCUGGCGUUGCUGUGGCAUAGGCUGGCACCUGCACCUCCGUAGCCUGGGAACUUCCAUAUGCCUCGGGUGUGGCCCUAAAAAGGCCAAAAAAAAA